This 484-nucleotide ribosomal RNA is filed under the name uncultured bacterium. RNAcentral describes it as "partial 16S ribosomal RNA". It matches the Rfam family "Bacterial small subunit ribosomal RNA", at positions 28 to 507 of the family's 1533-position model. The record is from RNAcentral.
AUUGAACUCUGGCGGCAUGCUUUACACAUGCAAGUCGAACGGCAGCGCGGGCUUCGGCCUGGCGGCGAGUGGCGAACGGGUGAGUAAUGCAUCGGAACGUGCCCAGUAGUGGGGGAUAGCCCGGCGAAAGCCGGAUUAAUACCGCAUACGACCUGAGGGUGAAAGCGGGGGACCGAAAGGCCUCGCGCUAUUGGAGCGGCCGAUGUCGGAUUAGCUAGUUGGUGGGGUAAAGGCUUACCAAGGCGACGAUCCGUAGCUGGUCUGAGAGGACGACCAGCCACACUGGGACUGAGACACGGCCCAGACUCCUACGGGAGGCAGCAGUGGGGAAUUUUGGACAAUGGGGGCAACCCUGAUCCAGCCAUGCCGCGUGCGGGAAGAAGGCCUUCGGGUUGUAAACCGCUUUUGUUCGGGAAGAAAUCCUCUGGGCUAAUACCCCGGGGGGAUGACGGUACCGGAAGAAUAAGCACCGGCUAACUACGUG